GUUUUAAUAGUUUAAAAUAAAACAUUGGUCUUGUAAAUCAAAGAAAAGCUCUAUGCUUUUAAAACU
Molecule: transfer RNA, 66 nt
Filed under: Parachauliodes japonicus
Lineage: Eukaryota; Metazoa; Arthropoda; Insecta; Megaloptera; Corydalidae
Description: tRNA-Thr
Rfam family: tRNA
About the family: Transfer RNA (tRNA) molecules are approximately 80 nucleotides in length. Their secondary structure includes four short double-helical elements and three loops (D, anti-codon, and T loops).
Source: RNAcentral